UUCGAGGUGCAGUCGAGCUCCGAUCGUCGUCGGAGAUGUACGCUUCAGCGUUCCGCGGCACGCGCUAUAAAUAGGAGCAGGCGGCGGCGCCGCGCGCUACUCCGGCGCCAGGGCUGUCCUCACCGAGUCAGGCGCUUGUUGGAGUACACUUACCGUGUCGGCGGUUAUCGUCCCGUCGUGUUACUACAAAGUGCUCCAGACGGUAGAACACGUGGUUUUGUGCGAACACGUGGCGACGGCGUCGAGUCGAGCUCCAGGCGCCGCAGCGGGAUGAGUUACCAGGGUGUCAGAAGGGUGUGAAGAUGGAUUCUCUGCCGAUGGCGAGCGGUGCGAUAGUGAAAAGUGGUUGACAAUUCGUUAUACAGGCGGUAGAAAAUGCAGACAGAAGUAGUCUCUCCUUAAAUCAAGCAGCUGGAUACAUAACAUAUACAGAUAAUAAAGUUGAAAUUUAUCCGUAUAUUUUUUAAUGUUAUGUCUGUAAUUCAAAAAUUUACUUUGAGUUGAGUUAACUAUGAUGAUAAUGUUAUUUCCUACUUUUUAAUAAAUCAUGAUUU
Galleria mellonella (greater wax moth) is the source of this 554-nucleotide long non-coding RNA. RefSeq lists it as uncharacterized. The record is from RefSeq and is a predicted model, not a curated record. The transcript has 3 exons. Lineage: Eukaryota; Metazoa; Arthropoda; Insecta; Lepidoptera; Pyralidae.